Nicotiana tabacum (common tobacco) is the source of this 725-nucleotide non-coding RNA. Lineage: Eukaryota; Viridiplantae; Streptophyta; Magnoliopsida; Solanales; Solanaceae. The record is from RefSeq and is a predicted model, not a curated record.
AUAUUUCAGGUUAUAGAUGCGUGUGCUAAAGGGAAUUUGGGUCGUUUCAUUAACCAUAGCUGUGAUCCUAAUUGCCGUACAGAAAAGUGGAUGGUCAAUGGAGAGGUUUGCAUUGGACUCUUUGCUCUAAGGGAUAUCAAGAAGGUAAAGUGUCUCGUUCUGAUUGUGAUUUUGCUUCAAAUGUUUUACAAUUUACAGGAUGGUUGUCGCUUUUUCCUAGUUAGUGAAGUAGAAAAAUGGAUUCCUCUCAUGUCUUACUUGACAUUCCAGUUAUAUGUAAGGGAACAAAUACAUAAGGAGUAGUUCUGAGAUCUUUAACACCUACGCUGGGGAAUUUGCAUUAUGGUCCACGUGGUUGUUAUUGGCGUGUUGUUACAAUCACCAUAACAUUCCAUUAUCACAUUUAGCAAGUGCUUUGGAGAUUGUUUAUAUACUUCUUAUUUUUGUAGGUUGUCAGUGAAUACAUGCAUACUGCUUGCAGAGAGAAGUUACUCUUCCAAAAAAGUACAAUCAGCCAAAAGAGACAUUGUUAUGAAUUAAGAUUUGCCACUAAAAGGGCAAUUCAUGGUAGAAUUGUUGGUAGAAUCUGGGUCUAAUUUUAGAUGGGUCAUUUAGUUGUUCUGGCCUUUGGGCCUUGAUUAUAGAGAUGUGUUUGGGUUGUAUUCCCUAUUACUUUGUUCUUGUUAAAAAGGAAUUUCAUGUGGAAAUAUUUAAGAUUAUGUUCA